RNAcentral lists this ribosomal RNA (293 nucleotides) under uncultured Pseudomonadota bacterium. RNAcentral describes it as "uncultured proteobacterium partial 16S ribosomal RNA". It matches the Rfam family "Bacterial small subunit ribosomal RNA", at positions 35 to 358 of the family's 1533-position model. The record is from RNAcentral. Lineage: Bacteria; Pseudomonadati; Pseudomonadota.
GCUGGCGGCAGGUCUAACACAUGCGGAGUAAGCGCGUAGCAAUACGAGCGGCAGACGGGUGAGUAACUCGUCGGAACGUACCCUUUACUACGGAAUAACGCAGGGAAACUUGUGCUAAUACCGUAUGUGCCCUUUGGGGGAAAGAUUUAUCGGUAAGGGAUCGGCCCGCGUUGGAUUAGCUAGUUGGUGGGGUAAAGGCCUACCAAGGCGACGAUCCAUAGCUGGUCUGAGAGGAUGAUCAGCCACAUUGGGACUGAGACACGGCCCAAACUCCUACGGGAGGCAGCAGUGGG